AUCAACUUUCGAUUGGUAGGAUAGAGGCCUACCAUGGUUGUAACGGGUAACGGGGUGUUAGGGCACGACACCGGAGAGGGAGCCUGAGAAACGGCUACCACAUCCAAGGAUGGCAGCAGGCGCGCAAAUUACCCAAUCCCGACACGGGGAGGUAGUGACAAUAAAUAACAAUACGGGGUUCUUUCGGAUUUCGUAAUUGGAAUGAGUACAAUUUAAAUCUCUUAACGAGGAACAAUUGGAGGGCAAGUCUGGUGCCAGCAGCCGCGGUAAUUCCAGCUCCAAUAGCGUAUAUUAAAGUUGCUGCAGUUAAAAAGCUCGUAGUUGAAUUUCGGGACCAAUAUGUCGGUCGUGCCUCGGUACGUACUGGCAUCGUUGGUUUCUCCCUUCUGACGAACCAUGAUGUCAUUCAUUUGGUGUCGUGGGGAAUCAGGACUGUUACUUUGAAAAAAUUAGAGUGUUUAAAGCAGGCUCACGCUUGAAUACAUUAGCAUGGAAUAAUGAAAUAGGACGUUUGAUUCUAUUUUGUUGGUUUCUAGGAUCGACGUAAUGAUUAAUAGGGAUAGUUGGGGGCAUUAGUAUUCAAUUGUCAGAGGUGAAAUUCUUGGAUUUAUUGAAGACUAACUACUGCGAAAGCAUUUGCCAAGGAUGUUUUCAUUAAUCAAGAACGAAAGUUAGGGGAUCGAAGACGAUCAGAUACCGUCGUAGUCUUAACCAUAAACUAUGCCGACUAGGGAUCGGAUGAUGUUAAUUUUUUAAUGACUCAUUCGGCGCCUUACGGGAAACCAAAGUGUUUGGUUC
RNAcentral lists this ribosomal RNA (798 nucleotides) under uncultured Glomus. RNAcentral's name for it is "SSU rRNA". It matches the Rfam family "Eukaryotic small subunit ribosomal RNA", at positions 314 to 1114 of the family's 1831-position model. The record is from RNAcentral. Lineage: Eukaryota; Fungi; Glomeromycota; Glomeromycetes; Glomerales; Glomeraceae.